Mycena vulgaris is the source of this 97-nucleotide non-coding RNA. The record is from the annotation of a GenBank genome assembly. NCBI's taxonomy places the organism in Eukaryota, Fungi, Basidiomycota, Agaricomycetes, Agaricales, Mycenaceae.
GACCUGGUGGUAUAGUGGUAACAUGUCUGUUCUCUAUGUUGUACGACUUUCUGCAUAUAUAAACCAGGCCUUCCUUGUUCGAAUCAAGGCUAGGUCA